This 358-nucleotide ribosomal RNA is filed under the name uncultured Methanoculleus sp. RNAcentral's name for it is "bacterial SSU rRNA". It matches the Rfam family "Archaeal small subunit ribosomal RNA", at positions 322 to 747 of the family's 1478-position model. The record is from RNAcentral. Lineage: Archaea; Methanobacteriati; Methanobacteriota; Methanomicrobia; Methanomicrobiales; Methanomicrobiaceae.
CCUAUGGGGGGCAGCAGGCGCGAAACCUUUACAAUGCGGGCAACCGUGAUAAGGGAACCUCGAGUGCCUGUAAACGCAGGCUGUUCAGGUGUUUAAAACGCACCUGGAGAAAGGGCGGGCUUAGAGCGGUCGUAGCCGGGUUGUUAAGUCUCUUGGGAAAUCUGGCGGCUUAACCGUCAGGCGUCUAAGGGAUACUGGCAAUCUUGGAACCGGGAGAGGUGAGGGGUACUUCGGGGGUAGGGGUGAAAUCCUGUAAUCCUCGAGGGACCACCUGUGGCGAAGGCGCCUCACCAGAACGGCUUCGACAGUGAGGGACGAAAGCUGGGGGAGCAAACCGGAUUAGAUACCCGCGUAGUCC